This 332-nucleotide long non-coding RNA is filed under the name Mytilus galloprovincialis (Mediterranean mussel). Lineage: Eukaryota; Metazoa; Mollusca; Bivalvia; Mytilida; Mytilidae. The record is from RNAcentral.
CCCUAAUACGAUUCGGAAGGGUAUAGCAAAGCCAUCAACCUUUUCUGACCUAACAUUGGGGCAACGUUGGGCCAACGUUAGCAUAAAAAAGUUGCCAACACCGACGGAUGGUCUUGUAAAUAUCAUCAUACCAACGUUGGGCCAAUGUUGUGUAGCCAUCACCAACAAAUGUAUAAGAAUUCAUCUCAACGUACCGACAAUUUGCCAACGUUGGACCAAUGUUGUGCAGCCAACAUCAACGUGCGACCAACGGACCGACAAUUUGCCAACGUUGGGCCAAUGUUGUGCUGCCAACACCAACGGUCGACCAACAGACCGACAAUUUGCCAACG